GGGAGUGUAGCUCAGUGGUAGAGCAUUCGACUGCAGAUCGAGAGGUCGGGGGUUCAAAUCCGCUCACUCCCU
This 72-nucleotide transfer RNA is filed under the name Paramuricea clavata. It matches the Rfam family "tRNA". Rfam says of the family: Transfer RNA (tRNA) molecules are approximately 80 nucleotides in length. Their secondary structure includes four short double-helical elements and three loops (D, anti-codon, and T loops). Lineage: Eukaryota; Metazoa; Cnidaria; Anthozoa; Malacalcyonacea; Plexauridae. The record is from Rfam by way of RNAcentral.